AUAACCGAAGAUCACACCAGGGCUGAGGGUGGGGUUGGUGAUGAUGCGCACAUCGCCGCCGCCGGGGGCCCAGGUGUCAUAGACACCGCCGAAGAACAUCGCCUUGAACACCAGCAGCAGACACCCCACACCCAACAGGAUGAGGUGGUAGCCAAUGAUGUUGGUCAUCUGGUUCUUAUCCCGCCA
This 186-nucleotide antisense RNA is filed under the name insect gut metagenome. Its description in RNAcentral is "Antisense RNA which regulates isiA expression". It matches the Rfam family "Antisense RNA which regulates isiA expression". The record is from RNAcentral.